This is an RNA transcript of Carya illinoinensis, 1759 nucleotides long. It is a transcript of the gene named ribosome biogenesis protein BRX1 homolog 2-like, with no coding region annotated. The record is from RefSeq and is a predicted model, not a curated record. The transcript is spliced from 9 exons. Lineage: Eukaryota; Viridiplantae; Streptophyta; Magnoliopsida; Fagales; Juglandaceae.
UCCUCCUUGCAAGUUUGCAACCGAGUUACCGAAGGGUUUAUUGUCUCUGUAUACGUUAUUCACUCUGAAUCAAACCCGUCGCUUCUUCCCUUCAAUUCUCUCCGGCUACUUCUUAGGUUUCAUCUUUCUCCAUUUGCUUUUAAAAAAGCAUUCUUUUUGCUCACGCUAAUAGAAGUUUCUUUAAUUCUUUACUUUUCUAUUAGCUCUGAUUCACAAAGAAGGGCUUGCAUUUGUUGUUUAGCUUUGUUUUUUAUAAUUUUUUUUCCUGGGUGUUGUUAUUCUUGUUGUAAUAUGCUCCAAGCUUACUUCUUUUGGGGAGAAUUUUGACAGAUAUGCUUGUGGUGAAUGCUUAGUUGUCUUAAGGGAAUAACAAUAACAAGAAAAAACAAUGGGGAAGAAGAGAAAACACAGUGAGACGGAGGUGGUGGCACCGCCUAAGAAGGAUAUGAGUGCUGAGGAGAGACCUAAAAGGACCCUAUUGGGUUGGAAAGACAAGAGUGAAGAAGUGAAGAAAGAAAGUGAUUCCGCAGGUUUCAGGAACAGAGAGAAGGUCCUGGUGACUUGCUCUCGUCGCAUUAAUUUUAGGUACCGGCAUUUGAUGUUGAAUAUGGUGUCGCUCUUGCCCCACUGUAAGAAGGAUAACAAGGUCGAGUCGAAGGCUAGUAAGGGCUCCACUUUGAACGAGCUGGUCGAGCUGAAAGGUUGCUCUUCCUGCCUUUUUUUCGAGUGCAGGAAGCAUCAAGAUCUUUAUCUAUGGAUGGCGAAAUGCCCCAACGGGCCAUCUGUCAAAUUUUUAGUUAAUGCUGUGCACACAAUGGAGGAACUGAAGCUUACUGGGAAUCAUCUAAAAGGGGCUCGUCCUAUUUUGACAUUCUCGGACAAUUUUGACAAAGAUGCUCAUUGGAAAAUUUUGAAAGAGAUGAUAAUUCAGAUAUUUGGAAUACCAAAGGAACACAGGAAAUCUAAGCCUUAUCAUGAUCAUGUGUUUGUUUUCUCCAUUGUUGAUGACCACAUAUGGUUCCGGAAUUAUCAGAUAUCUGUUCCUCAUAAUGAAGCAGAUAAAGUGCCCCGAUGGGGUGUUGAGAAUAUGACCCUUGUUGAGGUUGGUCCACGGUUCUGCUUGAACCCAAUCAAGAUAUUCAGUGGCAGCUUUGGAGGACCUACCCUAUACGAGAAUCCAUUUUACAUAUCACCAAAUCAGAUUCGAGCGUUGGAAAAAAGGAAAAAGGCUGGGAAGUAUGCAAAGAAAGUCAAAGCAAAGACAAGGAGAAAGAUGCACGAGCUAUCUGACCCAUUGGAGCCUGACGAAUUUGCGGAUAUGUGGAAAGAAUAAUACAUUUGAAGACCUCAUACUUUCUGGUGACAAGUAGCAGAAUUUCCUCUUCACCUUCUAUUAUUGCUGACAGAGACCUCUACAAAUGAUAUUGACAUCCAGAUCUUACUGUGUACUUGACAAGAACUACCGAGGCUGCAGCUAUUUCUUCCUCCCCGAAACAGUAGUGCGAGUGAAUCCGAUGGGCAAGUAUAUUUGGUUUGCUAGCCAGACUAAAGGGAGUCAGGAGUAACUGUUUGUGUUAAUUUGGUGUCGAACAUGAAACAUCUCGCCAAAAAUUAGUACCACCCAUUUCUCUUGAGACAGGAUGUAGAAUUGGCAGUAUCUCCCACAAAUUAGGUGAAAACUUAUCGAUUACUCGCUUUGUUCUGUCGAACACGACACUAUUUAUCCAUUCUAAGUAAUGACUAGACCCAUUUGUUUGAA